UACGUAGGGUGCGAGCGUUAAUCGGAAUUACUGGGCGUAAAGCGUGCGCAGGCGGUUUUGUAAGCCAGAUGUGAAAUCCCCGGGCUUAACCUGGGAAUGGCAUUUGGGACUGCAGGGCUGGAGUGCGGCAGAGGAGACUGGAAUUCCCGGUGUAGCAGUGAAAUGCGUAGAUAUCGGGAGGAAUACCGAUGGCGAAGGCAGGUCUCUGGGCUGACACUGACGCUCAUGCACGAAAGCGUGGGGAGCAAACAGG
This 253-nucleotide ribosomal RNA is filed under the name uncultured bacterium. RNAcentral's name for it is "partial 16S ribosomal RNA". It matches the Rfam family "Bacterial small subunit ribosomal RNA", at positions 524 to 776 of the family's 1533-position model. The record is from RNAcentral.